Molecule: ribosomal RNA, 439 nt
Filed under: uncultured bacterium
Lineage: Bacteria
Description: partial 16S ribosomal RNA
Rfam family: Bacterial small subunit ribosomal RNA
Source: RNAcentral
CUACGGGAGGCUCCAGUGAGGAAUAUUGCACAAUGGGGGGAACCCUGAUGCAGCAACGCCGCGUGGAGGAUGACGCAUUUCGGUGUGUAAACUCCUUUUAUAUGUCAAGAAAAUGACGGUAGCAUAUGAAUAAGCACCGGCUAACUCCGUGCCAGCAGCCGCGGUAAUACGGAGGGUGCAAGCGUUACUCGGAAUCACUGGGCGUAAAGGACGCGUAGGCGGGUUGGAAAGUCAGGUGUGAAAUCCUACAGCUUAACCGUAGAACUGCACUUGAAACUUCUAAUCUAGAGUAUGGGAGGGGGAGAUGGAAUUAGUGGUGUAGGGGUAAAAUCCGUAGAUAUCACUAGGAAUACCUAAAGCGAAGGCGAUCUCCUGGAACAUUACUGACGCUAAGGCGUGAAAGUGUGGGGAGCAAACAGGAUUAGAUACCCUGGUAGUC